GAACCUCCAAACAGGGUUUCAGGAUGUCAGCCCCAGGGAGACCUCAAACUGUGGCAGGGUAGCUUAGAAGCACUUGCAGAUCUCAGAUGAGAAAGCACUUGACCUCAGAACCUGUGCAAUGUCAGGUGUUCUGUAAACUUCACCAUGUUCUGGGACAUUUGGUCACUGACCUUUGUGUUGUGAAAUUGCUUCCUUCCUUCCCUGCUCAUGCCUGGUAGAUGGAAUUCCUACUCUUCUAGCUAAGACUCCUCUCCUUGCAGCUCAGAAAGAGACAGAAUUGCAACUCCCUGAAAGAGCUGCAGAGCCAGGAACGAGGGACAGAGGCUUCCAGAAGAGGUAAACCAUGGCUAGUGACACAGACACCUGCCUGCCUGAAACAUCACACUGACAACUCACAUCUUGUUUCUCCAGGUCCAGUCCAUCUGCUGCCACCCAGGAAGAAAGCCAUUAUGCUUCCAUGGAGGACAUUCGACCUAAUGACAGUGUGGAUCUAGACAGUUGGCGACCACCUGAGGAAGACCUGCAGGGAGAGACAUAUGCCCAGGUGAAACCUUCCAGGCUCAGGAAAGCAAAAACUCCCUUACCUUCUGCCAUGUCAAGUGAGCUCAUGAACACAAAAGAUGGACAAGCAAAAGAGGACAGAGAGGUGCACAGUCAGGUGGGUCCUGUCCUCCAGAGACCUACAGAUUCUCCCAAGCCAAGCAUAAACCUUCCUCUCACUCUCUCCCACUGAAGGCUGCAGAAUCCAAGGAUACUGAGGAUGUGACCUAUGCCCAGCUAUGCAUCAGGACGCUCAGCAUGGAGACAGCUGCACCUCCUCCCUCCCAGGCAGAGGAAGACCCAGAGGAGCCUAAUGUAUAUGCUGCUCUGAUGGCUGCUCGUGCUGAGGCUGUUCCCAAGGACAAGGAGCAAUGACCUUCUGCAUGCCAGCAUGGAUAACAGGCCACCAAGGGAUUUGGGAAUUUUAAGCUACCUGUCUGAGCUUUAACUAAUGUCACACAGUUUGGAAAUAAAGCCAGAGAUUCUCAAUAUUCAAGUGAAAUGAGA
Long non-coding RNA from Acomys russatus (golden spiny mouse), 1047 nucleotides. RefSeq lists it as uncharacterized. The record is from RefSeq and is a predicted model, not a curated record. The transcript has 3 exons. Lineage: Eukaryota; Metazoa; Chordata; Mammalia; Rodentia; Muridae.